UUUUCUGGUGCUUGCACUAGAAAAACUUAGCGGCGAACGGGUGAGUAACACGUAAAGAACCUGCCUCAUAGACUGGGACAACUAUUGGAAACGAUAGCUAAUACCGGAUAACAGUAUUUCUCGCAUGAGAGAUAUUUAAAAGUUGGUUAUGCUAACACUAUGAGAUGGCUUUGCGGUGCAUUAGCUAGUUGGUGGGGUAAAGGCCCACCAAGGCGACGAUGCAUAGCCGACCUGAGAGGGUGAUCGGCCACACUGGGACUGAGACACGGCCCAGACUCCUACGGGAGGCAGCAGUAGGGAAUCUUCCGCAAUGGGCGAAAGCCCUGACGGAGCAACGCCGCGUGAGUGAAGAAGGAUUUCGGUUCGUAAAGCUCUGUUGUUAGGGAAGAAUGGAUAUGUAGUAACUAUACAUAUAAGAGACGGUACCUAACCAGAAAGCCACGGCUAACUACGUGCCAGCAGCCGCGGUAAUACGUAGGUGGCAAGCGUUGUCCGGAAUUAUUGGGCGUAAAGCGCGCGCAGGUGGUUUAAUAAGUCUGAUGUGAAAGCCCACGGCUCAACCGUGGAGGGUCAUUGGAAACUGUUAAACUUGAGUGCAGGAGAGAAAAGUGGAAUUCCUAGUGUAGCGGUGAAAUGCGUAGAGAUUAGGAGGACACCAGUGGCGAAGGCGGCUUUUUGGCCUGUAACU
RNAcentral lists this ribosomal RNA (688 nucleotides) under uncultured Bacilli bacterium. Its description in RNAcentral is "bacterial SSU rRNA". It matches the Rfam family "Bacterial small subunit ribosomal RNA", at positions 69 to 741 of the family's 1533-position model. Lineage: Bacteria; Bacillati; Bacillota; Bacilli. The record is from RNAcentral.